AGCGUGGAGACAGGUGGUGCAUGGCUGUCGUCAGCUCGUGUCGUGAGAUGUUGGGUUAAGUCCCGCAACGAGCGCAACCCUCACCCCUUGUUGCCAUCAGGUGAUGCUGGGCACUCUAGGGGAACUGCCCCGGUCAACGGGGAGGAAGGCGGGGAUGACGUCAAGUCAUCAUGCCCCUUACGUCCUGGGCUACACACGUGCUACAAUGGCCGGUACAAAGGGAUGCAAGACCGUGAGGUGGAGCUAAACCCAAAAAGCCGGUCUAAGUUCAGAUUGGAGUCUGCAACUCGACUCCAUGAAGGAGGAAUCGCUAGUAAUCGCGCAUCAGCACGGCGCGGUGAAUACGUUCCCGGGCCUUGUACACACCGCCCGUCACACCACGAAAGCCAGCUGUACUCGAAGUCGCUGAG
This 410-nucleotide ribosomal RNA is filed under the name uncultured Methylomirabilota bacterium. Its description in RNAcentral is "bacterial SSU rRNA". It matches the Rfam family "Bacterial small subunit ribosomal RNA", at positions 1025 to 1434 of the family's 1533-position model. The record is from RNAcentral. Lineage: Bacteria; Methylomirabilota (SeqCode).